Molecule: ribosomal RNA, 253 nt
Filed under: uncultured bacterium
Lineage: Bacteria
Description: partial 16S ribosomal RNA
Rfam family: Bacterial small subunit ribosomal RNA
Source: RNAcentral
UACAGAGGUCCCAAGCGUUGUUCGGAUUCACUGGGCGUAAAGAGCGCGCAGGCGGUCGUACAAGUCGCGUGUGAAAGCCCCCGGCUCAACUGGGGAGGGUCACGCGAUACUGUUCGACUCGAAGGCAGGAGAGGGAAGCGGAAUUCCCGGUGUAGUGGUGAAAUGCGUAGAUAUCGGGAGGAACACCAGUGGCGAAGGCGGCUUCCUGGCCUGUUCUUGACGCUGAGGCGCGAAAGCUAGGGGAGCAAACGGG